This 485-nucleotide ribosomal RNA is filed under the name uncultured bacterium. RNAcentral describes it as "bacterial SSU rRNA". It matches the Rfam family "Bacterial small subunit ribosomal RNA", at positions 24 to 518 of the family's 1533-position model. The record is from RNAcentral.
UCAGAAUCAACGCUGGCGGCGUAGCCUAACACAUGCAAGUCGAACGAGAAAGUGGAGCAAUCCAUGAGUACAGUGGCGCACGGGUGAAGUAACACGUGACUAACCUACCUUCGAGCCGGGGAAUAACCUCGGGAAACCGGGGCUAAUACCGCAUAACAUCAUCGGGUGAAAUCCCUGCUGAUCAAAAGUUUUUUGCUUGAAGAGGGGGUCGCGGCUGAUUAGGCUAGUUGGUGAGGUAACGGCUCACCAAGGCGGUGAUCAGUAGCCGGCCUGAGAGGGCGCACGGCCACACUGGAACUGAAACACGGUCCAGACUCCUACGGGAGGCAGCAGUGGGGGAAUUUUGCGCAAUGGGGGGAAAAACCCCUGACGCAGCAACGCCGCGUGGAGGAUGAAGUCCCUUGGGACGUAAACUCCUUUCGAUCGGGAAGAAUAAUGACGGUACCGGAAGAAGAAGCCCCGGCUAACUUCGUGCCAGCCGCUGC